CAAUAGCGUAUAUUUAAGUUGUUGCAGUUAAAAAGCUCGUAGUUGGAUUUCGGAUGGGACUUGCCGGUCCGUCGUUUCGAUGUGCACUGGCCAGUCCUAUCUUGUUGUCGGGGACUAGCUCCUGGGCUUCACUGUCCGGGACUAGGAGCUGACGAGGUUACUUUGAGUAAAUUAGAGUGUUCAAAGCAAGCCUACGCUCUGAAUACAUUAGCAUGGAAUAACACGAUAGGACUCUGGCUUAUCUUGUUGGUCUGUGAGACCAGAGUAACGAUUAAGAGGGACAGUCGGGGGCAUUCGUAUUUCAUUGUCAGAGGUGAAAUUCUUGGAUUUAUGAAAGACGAACUUCUGCGAAAGCAUUUGUCAAGGAUGUUUUCAUUAA
This 379-nucleotide ribosomal RNA is filed under the name uncultured eukaryote. RNAcentral describes it as "partial 18S ribosomal RNA". It matches the Rfam family "Eukaryotic small subunit ribosomal RNA", at positions 592 to 976 of the family's 1831-position model. The record is from RNAcentral.